CUAGAUUGAUAUAAGUUAAGCAUUGAAAGAAAAGAACAUACUGGUUUAUGGCAGAACAACCUGUGUCUGAGACCACUGUCUGCCCUCUGCAUCUAAGGGCUUCUGGCAUUGAAGUGGAAUGGCUAGUA
RNAcentral lists this small nucleolar RNA (128 nucleotides) under Mus pahari (shrew mouse). RNAcentral's name for it is "snoRNA (MGP_PahariEiJ_G0034544.1)". The record is from RNAcentral. Lineage: Eukaryota; Metazoa; Chordata; Mammalia; Rodentia; Muridae.